Molecule: long non-coding RNA, 444 nt
Organism: Sapajus apella (tufted capuchin)
Lineage: Eukaryota; Metazoa; Chordata; Mammalia; Primates; Cebidae
Exons: 4
Source: RefSeq, a predicted model, not a curated record
AGUGACUCUGGAGAAACUGAGAGGCUCCCCAGCAGGACCACACUCUUCCUCCUGACCCCACUUUCUACUGAAGUUGCUUUCUCCUUGGAGCAUCAAUCUCCUCAGCAUCACCUGGGAGCUUGCUGGAAAUGCAGAUUGUCAGCCUCUGCCUCAGAUCUACUGAAUUAGAGUUUUUUAUUUGGGCCCUCAGUGUCAAGCAGGACUAGUGUAUGUCCUGGCUUCUUGGGGUGAGGCACACACCACAUCCAGAUUCCUUUGGUGUGAGAUUUCACUGUGGAGCCCAGAGAGAAGCCUGCAAAGGAGAGAUGGGUUCUGUGGCCUACUAUCAGCAGGAAGUGCUAGAGUGCUUGUCGCCCAUUCUCCCUCAAGAUUGAGAAAAUGAACAACCAAAAACAGGGGAUUUGAAACUGCAGAGCCAACCCAAUGUGUUUCAAGUUUGUGAAA